RNAcentral lists this transfer RNA (83 nucleotides) under Hanseniaspora osmophila. Its description in RNAcentral is "tRNA-Leu". It matches the Rfam family "tRNA". Rfam says of the family: Transfer RNA (tRNA) molecules are approximately 80 nucleotides in length. Their secondary structure includes four short double-helical elements and three loops (D, anti-codon, and T loops). Further hydrogen bonds mediate the characteristic L-shaped molecular structure. tRNAs have two regions of fundamental functional importance: the anti-codon, which is responsible for specific mRNA codon recognition, and the 3' end, to which the tRNAs corresponding amino acid is attached (by aminoacyl-tRNA synthetases). tRNAs cope with the degeneracy of the genetic code in two manners: having more than one tRNA (with a specific anti-codon) for a particular amino acid; and 'wobble' base-pairing, i.e. permitting non-standard base-pairing at the 3rd anti-codon position. RNAcentral also lists the same sequence under 1 other name. The record is from RNAcentral. Lineage: Eukaryota; Fungi; Ascomycota; Saccharomycetes; Saccharomycodales; Saccharomycodaceae.
GUUAUAAUGUUGGAAUUGGUAGACAAUUAACACUUAAAAUGUUAUGCUUUAUAAGCGUGGGAGUUCAAAUCUCUCUUAUAACA